GGGUUGUGAGGUUAAGCGACUAAGCGUACACGGUGGAUGCCCUGGCAGUCAGAGGCGAUGAAGGGCGUGCUAAUCUGCGAUAAGCGCCGGUAAGGUGAUAUGAACCGUUAUAACCGGCGAUACCCGAAUGGGGAAACCCAGUGUGAUUCGUCACACUAUCAUUAACUGAAUCCAUAGGUUAAUGAGGCGAACCGGGGGAACUGAAACAUCUAAGUACCCCGAGGAAAAGAAAUCAACCGAGAUUCCCCCAGUAGCGGCGAGCGAACGGGGAGGAGCCCAGAGCCUGAAUCAGCAUGUGUGUUAGUGGAAGCGUCUGGAAAGGCGCGCGAUACAGGGUGACAGCCCCGUACACAAAAGCGCAUGUGCUGUGAGCUCGAUGAGUAGGGCGGGACACGUGGUAUCCUGUCUGAAUAUGGGGGGACCAUCCUCCAAGGCUAAAUACUCCUGACUGACCGAUAGUGAACCAGUACCGUGAGGGAAAGGCGAAAAGAACCCCGGCGAGGGGAGUGAAAAAGAACCUGAAACCGUGUACGUACAAGCAGUGGGAGCACANNNNNNNNNNNGUGACUGCGUACCUUUUGUAUAAUGGGUCAGCGACUUAUAUUCUGUAGCAAGGUUAACCGAAUAGGGGAGCCGGAGGGAAACCGAGUCUUAAUUGGGCGUUAAGUUGCAGGGUAUAGACCCGAAACCCGGUGAUCUAGCCAUGGGCAGGUUGAAGGUUGGGUAACACUAACUGGAGGACCGAACCGACUAAUGUUGAAAAAUUAGCGGAUGACCUGUGGCUGGGGGUGAAAGGCCAAUCAAACCGGGAGAUAGCUGGUUCUCCCCGAAAGCUAUUUAGGUAGCGCCUCGUGAAUUCAUCUCCGGGGGUAGAGCACUGUUUCGGCUAGGGGGCCAUCCCGGCUUACCAACCCGAUGCAAACUGCGAAUACCGGAGAAUGUUAUCACGGGAGACACACGGCGGGUGCUAACGUCCGUCGUGAAGAGGGAAACAACCCAGACCGCCAGCUAAGGUCCCAAAGUCAUGGUUAAGUGGGAAACGAUGUGGGAAGGCCCAGACAGCCAGGAUGUUGGCUUAGAAGCAGCCAUCAUUUAAAGAAAGCGUAAUAGCUCACUGGUCGAGUCGGCCUGCGCGGAAGAUGUAACGGGGCUAAACCAUGCACCGAAGCUGCGGCAGCGACACUGUGUGUUGUUGGGUAGGGGAGCGUUCUGUAAGCCUGUGAAGGUGUGUCGUGAGGCAUGCUGGAGGUAUCAGAAGUGCGAAUGCUGACAUAAGUAACGAUAAAGCGGGUGAAAAGCCCGCUCGCCGGAAGACCAAGGGUUCCUGUCCAACGUUAAUCGGGGCAGGGUGAGUCGACCCCUAAGGCGAGGCCGAAAGGCGUAGUCGAUGGGAAACGGGUUAAUAUUCCCGUACUUGGUGUUACUGCGAAGGGGGGACGGAGAAGGCUAUGUUGGCCGGGCGACGGUUGUCCCGGUUUAAGCGUGUAGGUGUGUGUUCCAGGUAAAUCCGGUUCACUUUAACACUGAGGCGUGACGACGAGGCACUACGGUGCUGAAGCAACAAAUGCCCUGCUUCCAGGAAAAGCCUCUAAGCAUCAGGUAACAUCAAAUCGUACCCCAAACCGACACAGGUGGUCAGGUAGAGAAUACCAAGGCGCUUGAGAGAACUCGGGUGAAGGAACUAGGCAAAAUGGUGCCGUAACUUCGGGAGAAGGCACGCUGACACGUAGGUGAAGUGAUUUACUCAUGGAGCUGAAGUCAGUCGAAGAUACCAGCUGGCUGCAACUGUUUAUUAAAAACACAGCACUGUGCAAACACGAAAGUGGACGUAUACGGUGUGACGCCUGCCCGGUGCCGGAAGGUUAAUUGAUGGGGUCAGCGCAAGCGAAGCUCCUGAUCGAAGCCCCGGUAAACGGCGGCCGUAACUAUAACGGUCCUAAGGUAGCGAAAUUCCUUGUCGGGUAAGUUCCGACCUGCACGAAUGGCGUAAUGAUGGCCAGGCUGUCUCCACCCGAGACUCAGUGAAAUUGAACUCGCUGUGAAGAUGCAGUGUACCCGCGGCAAGACGGAAAGACCCCGUGAACCUUUACUAUAGCUUGACACUGAACAUUGAGCCUUGAUGUGUAGGAUAGGUGGGAGGCUUUGAAGUGUGGACGCCAGUCUGCAUGGAGCCGACCUUGAAAUACCACCCUUUAAUGUUUGAUGUUCUAACGUGGACCCGUUACCCGGGUUGCGGACAGUGUCUGGUGGGUAGUUUGACUGGGGCGGUCUCCUCCUAAAGAGUAACGGAGGAGCACGAAGGUUGGCUAAUCCUGGUCGGACAUCAGGAGGUUAGUGCAAUGGCAUAAGCCAGCUUGACUGCGAGCGUGACGGCGCGAGCAGGUGCGAAAGCAGGUCAUAGUGAUCCGGUGGUUCUGAAUGGAAGGGCCAUCGCUCAACGGAUAAAAGGUACUCCGGGGAUAACAGGCUGAUACCGCCCAAGAGUUCAUAUCGACGGCGGUGUUUGGCACCUCGAUGUCGGCUCAUCACAUCCUGGGGCUGAAGUAGGUCCCAAGGGUAUGGCUGUUCGCCAUUUAAAGUGGUACGCGAGCUGGGUUUAGAACGUCGUGAGACAGUUCGGUCCCUAUCUGCCGUGGGCGCUGGAGAACUGAGGGGGGCUGCUCCUAGUACGAGAGGACCGGAGUGGACGCAUCACUGGUGUUCGGGUUGUCAUGCCAAUGGCACUGCCCGGUAGCUAAAUGCGGAAGAGAUAAGUGCUGAAAGCAUCUAAGCACGAAACUUGCCCCGAGAUGAGUUCUCCCUGAGACUUAGAGUCUCCUGAAGGAACGUUGAAGACGACGACGUUGAUAGGCCGGGUGUGUAAGCGCAGCGAUGCGUUGAGCUAACCGGUACUAAUGAACCGUGAGGCUUAACCUUACAACGCCGAAG
Molecule: ribosomal RNA, 2928 nt
Filed under: Salmonella enterica subsp. enterica serovar Enteritidis str. EC20120555
Lineage: Bacteria; Pseudomonadati; Pseudomonadota; Gammaproteobacteria; Enterobacterales; Enterobacteriaceae
Description: bacterial LSU rRNA
Rfam family: Bacterial large subunit ribosomal RNA
Source: RNAcentral